This 447-nucleotide ribosomal RNA is filed under the name uncultured Anaerolineaceae bacterium. Its description in RNAcentral is "bacterial SSU rRNA". It matches the Rfam family "Bacterial small subunit ribosomal RNA", at positions 923 to 1382 of the family's 1533-position model. The record is from RNAcentral. Lineage: Bacteria; Bacillati; Chloroflexota; Anaerolineae; Anaerolineales; Anaerolineaceae.
GCACAAGCAGCGGAGCGUGUGGUUUAAUUCGAUGCUACACGAAGAACCUUACCCGGGUUUGACAUGCAAGUGGUAGUGAUCCGAAAGGUGAACGACCCGCAAGGGAGCUUGCACAGGUGUUGCAUGGCUGUCGUCAGCUCGUGUCGUGAGGUGUUCGGUUAAGUCCGCUAACGAGCGCAACCCUCGCUGUAUGUUACAUGUGUCAUACAGGACCGCCGGUAUCAAGCCGGAGGAAGGUGGGGAUGACGUCAAGUCCGCAUGGCCUUUAUGUCCGGGGCUACACACACGCUACAAUGGUCGGUACAAUGGGUUGCUAAGCCGCGAGGUGGAGCCAAUCCCCCAAAGCCGGCCUCAGUUCAGAUUGCAGGCUGCAACUCGCCUGCAUGAAGCUGGAGUUGCUAGUAAACGCGCGUCAGCUAUAGUGCGUUGAAUACGUUCUCGGGCCUU